CACACCUCCAUGGAACCAAACAACAGCCUUCUUCUGCAUCGGAACCCAUUCAAACUAGCUAGGGCCAGAAGCUCCAUCGCCGGAGCGGCAUAAACAAAAGCUAGGUAUGGAUGCUCAUUGCCAAAUAACAUCUCUGCCCCUUUGCAGUUAGGGUUAGGGCGCGCUGGGGUUAAGAUUAGUGUUUGUUAGGAUCCAAGACGCUCCUCGGCCUCUUCUGCCGCGGAGGUGGUGGUGGAGUUAUCUUUGUCAUCGAAGGUCUUAGAGUAAGAUGAGCAUGAUAUGGAUGUGGACACAGCAACUUCAGGUGCUCAGGGUCUUGGCAAGCAUCCUUUACCAGAGCUGGAGAUGUACUGUUACAUGCUUGUAUUGAUAUAUUUAAUUGAUCAAAGAAAUACAAUGAGGCAAAAGCUUGUUCCUCUGCAAGCAUUGCCCGCCUAAAGAACAUAAACAGGAGAACUGUUGAUGUUUUAGCCUCCAGGCUAUAUUUCUAUUAUCCUUACGGCUAUGAACUUAUAGAUAGUCUUGCU
Long non-coding RNA from Dioscorea cayenensis subsp. rotundata (Guinea yam), 527 nucleotides. RefSeq lists it as uncharacterized. The transcript is spliced from 3 exons. The record is from RefSeq and is a predicted model, not a curated record. NCBI's taxonomy places the organism in Eukaryota, Viridiplantae, Streptophyta, Magnoliopsida, Dioscoreales, Dioscoreaceae.